GUCUCUGUUUCUUGAUUCUGUAUUUUAAUCUGCCCAAUUCUGAAAACCUCCACUACAAAAGCCACCAAUAAUCCUCAGCUGACAGAAACAAAAGCAUAGGGAAUUCUUGCAGAAAAGUAGAGGCAGGUGAAAAUUUAUUUAGGUGGAAGAAAAUUACAUCAGGGACUUAAAAAAAUCAUUUAAACCAAUGUUAAUGUAAUACCCUGCAGUUUUCUCUCUUAGGUCUACCUAUAAACAAAACACUUCAAAUUUCUCAACAGCAAAUAUUUCUUUAUAUACACAAAAGUAUUUUAACAGGAAUGUGCGAUUUCACAAACUAAACAUUGCAAUAAUUUUAAGCUAUAUCUGGAAAUAUGUUCCAAGAUUUAUAGUGAGUUUCUGAAAGGUCACCCCAUAGAGGAGCACAGGAGUGAUUCUUCUCUUUGUAGUAACUAGUCAUACUGGGACUUUGAAAGUAGGGAUGCUUAAUCUUUACUUUUAAACCUUUUCAUCAGAAAGUUACUUAAGCAGCUUGGCCAGCUUUGACUUUUAUAAGCAUGCUGCCUUCUACUGAAAACUUCUUUCAGUCACUUCAGAGGGUAGAGUUUAAAAAAAAAAAAAAAAAAAAGCAUGUGUUUCUAUCAGGUCCUAAAGGUAUACAUCAGUGAUCUGGGUGGACGGGGGUGAAAACUUCCCACAGCAAGUCACUCAAAUGCUCCUGGUGGGCUCUGACAAUUCAAAGUAACUUGCAGAAAUUUUGAUUGUGCUGACUAAUUUUAUGUCAACUUGACAUAGACAUCUAAGGAGGGAACCCCAGUUAAGAAAAUGCCUCUCUAAGAUUGGGCAGUAGGCAAGCCUGUAGAACAUCAUCCUAAUUACUGAUUGAUUGGGGAGGAGCCAGCCCUUAUGGGCGGUUAUCCCCAGGCUGGUGGUCCUGGUUUUUAAAAGAAAGUAGACUGAGCAAGCCAUGUAAUCUAGAGCACUCCUCCAUGGCCCCUGCACCAGCUCUUGCCUCCAGGUUCCUGCCCUGUCUGAGUUUUUAUCUGGGCUGAUGAUGAACUGUGGCGUGGAAAUGUAAGUCAAAUAAACUCCUUCAUUACCAAGUUGCUUUGGUCAUGGUGUUUCAUCCACUGCAAUAGCAACUUUAACUAUUUGUAACUUUUGUAAGAAAUCAGUGUUAUGGAAGAAACAGGAACCAGUUCUUUUAGGAUGACAAACAGUGAAAUUUGCAUUUCAUGUUCAAAUGUGUAUGAGUUGAUGUAAGAGAACCAUGAAAUAACAACAUUAAUGUUAUAAAGGGUUUACUAAUAAACUCACUUAGAUAUUAAGUUACACAAAGUAGGACUUAGCUAAGGGAGCAAUGCUUCCACAGAACUUGAAAAUAAGCAGUGUGCUGACCAGGCUUGCCAGGAACAGCAGGGAAAAGUCUGUUCCUCAAACACAACUGAAGUUUAAGACCAUUAAGCCUUUCCCCAUAUCAGAAUACUUGUCACUAAGGUGGCUCGAGGGUGUGGUACAGGGGACAGCCAUCAUAUCGUCCUGACCUGCCAUUAAGUUCCUGUCCUUUCAUCAGGCAAAGCAUAAGUCUACAAGGUGGGCAAGAUGACCCUGGAUAACAACCACCCAACAGAUCAACACUGUCGUGUCUUUGCUGUAUAAAUCCCCCAGCUGCCCCUGGCUCUGAGGCCAGGAUCUGAAGGAGAGUUAAGGACAGCAGCACAAAUGGAAUGUAUAGGCCUAAGGCCUGUAUACACUGGUAAAAAUUUGUCUGAGGCUGCUUCCUCUUUGUGCAUUGACAAGAACCACACACAUUACUAUUAAAGAUUUUCCUCUGUUAA
Molecule: long non-coding RNA, 1817 nt
Filed under: Rattus norvegicus (Norway rat)
Lineage: Eukaryota; Metazoa; Chordata; Mammalia; Rodentia; Muridae
Description: long non-coding RNA NONRATT021410
Source: RNAcentral